GCUCAAACUUGCUGAACACGCCUAGUUAGGGAUCAAGGCCUCUCUUACUCCAAACAACAUGCCGCCCAAGUCGAAGGCGCCGAGUAAUAGAGGUCCUAUGCCUGGACUGGAAACUUAUGCGCAAGGGAAACCACCAGCGCCUGUGCAGAAACCACCUGCUUCUAAUGGUGAAAAGAAGAAAGAUAAAGCACUAAGGAACAAGCCGGAUAAAAAUGGCAAGGAUACAAGUACUUCCAAUUAAUCGGCAAUUCAGGAUCCAGAUAUAAAAUAAUUCUCUUGUUUGGAUUGAUCGAUGCCGAAGAAGAAUGAUAUGAGAAUCUACUGCAGACUUGCUAGUAUUUAUUAGUAAAUGUUAAGAGGUGGAAAGGAAAUAUGGAUCAAUCUAGUGUUAGUAGUUUGUACGUGCUUGCUUGGUGCAUUUGUACACUGUCCUAAGUUCAUAUGUUGGUCUUGUAUUCACAUGUAUUAAUAAAUUGGGAUUGUAUUGAG
Molecule: long non-coding RNA, 489 nt
Organism: Triticum aestivum (bread wheat)
Lineage: Eukaryota; Viridiplantae; Streptophyta; Magnoliopsida; Poales; Poaceae
Exons: 5
Source: RefSeq, a predicted model, not a curated record